AUUGAAUGCUGGCGGAAUGCUUUACCCAUGCAAGUCGAACGGCAGCACGGACUUCGGUCUGGUGGCGAGUGGCGAACGGGUGAGUAAUAUAUCGGAACGUGCCCAGUCGUGGGGGAUAACGUAGUGAAAAUUACGCUAAUACCGCAUACGAUCUACGGAUGAAAGCGGGGGAUCGCAAGACCUCGCGCGAUUGGAGCGGCCGAUAUCAGAUUAGGUAGUUGGUGAGGUAAAGGCUCACCAAGCCAACGAUCUGUAGUUGGUCUGAGAGGACGACCAGCCACACUGGGCCUGAGACACGGCCCAGACUCUGACGGGAGGCAGCAGGGGGGAAUUUUGGACAAUGGACGCAGGUCUGAUCCAGCCAUUCCGCGUGCAGGACGAAGGCCUUCGGGUUGUAAACUGCUUUUGUACAGAACGAAAAGGUUUCUAUUAAUACUAGGGGCUCAUGACGGUACUGUAAGAAUAAGCACCGGCUAACUACGUGCCAGCCGCCGCCGUAA
RNAcentral lists this ribosomal RNA (500 nucleotides) under uncultured bacterium. RNAcentral's name for it is "partial 16S ribosomal RNA". It matches the Rfam family "Bacterial small subunit ribosomal RNA", at positions 30 to 523 of the family's 1533-position model. The record is from RNAcentral.